This 600-nucleotide long non-coding RNA is filed under the name Equus asinus (donkey). RNAcentral describes it as "lncRNA (ENSEASG00005038113.1)". Lineage: Eukaryota; Metazoa; Chordata; Mammalia; Perissodactyla; Equidae. The record is from RNAcentral.
AAAACACUCUGGGAAAAGAAGAGGAGAAGAGGCAGGGCGGAUGAACCAGGAUGAGCAAAAUGUUGGGCUUGGCACACAGCACGUGCUUCGUUGUGGAGGGGACUCUGAAUGAAGAGCGGACACGACAUCGCCAUCCCGGCCUGAACUGCCCCUGCCCAGGCACAGCUGCCUCCCACGUGUGCACAGCCCAGCCACAAGGCGAGCCCCCCCGCCCUGCUGAGAGCUACUGAGAGGCUCCCCUGCACACGGCCCUGGCAUCUCAUGGGAGAACGGGAAGUGGGACGUUGAAGCCCACGUCAUCGCCAUGGACAUGAAGAGGAAUGACACAGCUUGCUGGCACCGAUGACCAAUCUGAAAACAACUUUUGCUUUUUGCUGGCUUGCUGCACUUGAGACCCAUUGCGGAAGGCGCAGUGGGUAAAUGAUGACUUCACUGCCAUCCUGGCCCGCCUCCCACGGUUUGGCGCCUCUGGAGAGGGCCUGGGGAUGUCAUUACUGUAAUCUCUGCCAUCUGGCUGUCUUUGGCCUCCUGCCCUUCCUCACAUGGUCAGAGGUCACCCCUCGUCUCCCCAGGAGCUUCCUGGAAUGGCAGCCCUCCCCG